GUCUCAGUAGCAUAGUGGUUAGUGCACACCUCCGGAAAGGUUUAGACGCGGGUUCGAAUCCCGCCUGAGAUG
Nippostrongylus brasiliensis is the source of this 72-nucleotide non-coding RNA. The record is from Rfam. NCBI's taxonomy places the organism in Eukaryota, Metazoa, Nematoda, Chromadorea, Rhabditida, Heligmosomidae.